AGCGAACGCUGGCGGCAGGCUUAACACAUGCAAGUCGAACGGUCCUUCGGGAUAGUGGCGGACGGGUGAGUAACACGUGGGAACGUACCCUUAGGUUCGGAACAACACAGGGAAACUUGUGCUAAUACCGGAUAAGCCCUUCGGGGGAAAGAUUUAUCGCCUUUGGAGCGGCCUGCGUCUGAUUAGCUUGUUGGUGAGGUAAUGGCCCACCAAGGCUAUGAUCAGUAGCUGGUCUGAGAGGAUGGCCAGCCACACUGGGACUGAGACACGGCCCAGACUCCUACGGGAGGCAGCAGUGGGGAAUCUUGCGCAAUGGGCGAAAGCCUGACGCAGCCAUGCCGCGUGGAUGAUGAAGGUCUUAGGAUUGUAAAAUCCUUUCACCGGGGACGAUAAUGACGGUACCCGGAGAAGAAGCCCCGGCUAACUUCGUGCCAGCCGCCGCCGUAA
Molecule: ribosomal RNA, 447 nt
Filed under: uncultured bacterium
Lineage: Bacteria
Description: partial 16S ribosomal RNA
Rfam family: Bacterial small subunit ribosomal RNA
Source: RNAcentral